RNAcentral lists this ribosomal RNA (189 nucleotides) under uncultured bacterium. RNAcentral's name for it is "partial 16S ribosomal RNA". It matches the Rfam family "Bacterial small subunit ribosomal RNA", at positions 338 to 524 of the family's 1533-position model. The record is from RNAcentral.
CCUACGGGAGGCAGCAGUGAGGAAUAUUGGUCAAUGGACGGAAGUCUGAACCAGCCAAGUAGCGUGCAGGAUGACGGCCCUAUGGGUUGUAAACUGCUUUUAUGUGGGAAUAAAGUCAGGGACGUGUCCCUGUUUGCAUGUACCACAGGAAUAAGGACCGGCUAAUACCAUGCCAGCAGCCGCGGUAAU